This 459-nucleotide long non-coding RNA is filed under the name Phaseolus vulgaris (common bean). RNAcentral's name for it is "long non-coding RNA (PVUL_LNC003665)". Lineage: Eukaryota; Viridiplantae; Streptophyta; Magnoliopsida; Fabales; Fabaceae. The record is from RNAcentral.
UCUUUAGAUUAAUAUUUCAAUGUUAGUAAAUAUAUAUGUUUUUUAAUGAAAGUUUUCAUGUUAGGCAUCACUAUGCAACUUGACAUCUUAGCUAAGCUGACACCUUAAGUAACAACAAUCAUCUGCCAUCACAUGAAAAAAAUAUUAUUAAAAAAAGGAAAAAGAAAGAAAAUACAAAAAUAUGGGAGGACUAGACCAAAACCCACAUGUUAACAAAAACGAUACAUAGGUAGACUAUACCCACUACAAGAAAAACUUGAUUUAGCUUCCAAAUUUUUGCGUGGGCCAUUUGCGGACGCUAUUCUCGUCGGCCAAAAUGAGUAAAAGCCCACGCAAGAUUUACAUUGGACGCAAAACGGACGCAUAUAUUGAUUUAAUUUUUUUUUUUAAAAAAAUUUGCAUCGGCCGCGGCCCACGCAUAGGUGUCGGUUUUGUGUCGGCCGCGGCCCACGCAUAUGN